AUGUGAUCGUCUCUCGCAUAUCAAUAAGCGGAGGAAAAGAAACUAACAAGGAUUCCCCUAGUAACGGCGAGUGAAGCGGGAAGAGCUCAAAUUGAAAUCUUAAAGGGUUUCCCUUUACGAAUUGUAGUUUAAAGAAGUGUUUUCUGUUGAGGUUUUGGUAAAAGUUCUUUGGAAUAGGACAUCAUAGAGGGUGAGAAUCCCGUAUUUGACCUUUACUUUCAACUUUGUGAUACACUUUCAAAGAGUCGGAUUGUUUGGGAAUGCAGUCCAAAAUGGGUGGUAAAUUUCAUCUAAAGCUAAAUAUUGGCGAGAGACCGAUAGCGAACAAGUACCGUGAGGGAAAGAUGAAAAGAACUUUGAAAAGAGAGUUAAACAGUACGUGAAAUUGUCAAAAGGGAAGCGUUUGACACCAGUGUUGUUUUUCUGAAAAUCAAUUAAAGAACUGUUUAUGCUAAGCUGUUUAGACUUAUCAGCUAUCUGUUUAGUUUUGAGCUUUUCUUUAAUGCACUUUUCAGUUAACAAGUCAACAUCAAUUUCUUUUGCUGUAAAAAAGCUUGAGGAAGGUGGCUUGAGAUUCGUCUUAAGUGUUUAUAGCCUCUUGCCUAUGCAGUCGGAGAGAUUGAGGUCUGCAGCGUAGAUCCUUCGGGGCUAAAUGCAUUUGUGCUAAGUUAUAGCAUUUUAUAGACAACUUGUUGACUAUGAUUUGUCUCGUAGCUUACUCGCUUAUGUUAUUUUACCUACGCUUAGGAUGUUGAUCUGUAGUGCGUGCGC
Molecule: ribosomal RNA, 771 nt
Filed under: uncultured Neocallimastigales
Lineage: Eukaryota; Fungi; Neocallimastigomycota; Neocallimastigomycetes; Neocallimastigales
Description: partial large subunit ribosomal RNA
Rfam family: Eukaryotic large subunit ribosomal RNA
Source: RNAcentral